Molecule: ribosomal RNA, 274 nt
Filed under: uncultured bacterium
Lineage: Bacteria
Description: partial 16S ribosomal RNA
Rfam family: Bacterial small subunit ribosomal RNA
Source: RNAcentral
CUACGGAGGGUGCAAGCGUUACUCGGAAUCACUGGGCGUAAAGCGCGCGCAGGCGGCUAUUUAAGUUGGAUGUGAAAGCCUACGGCUCAACCGUAGAACUGCAUCCAAAACUAUUUAGCUAGAGUGUGGGAGAGGAAGAUGGAAUUAGUUGUGUAGGGGUAAAAUCCGUAGAGAUAACUAGGAAUACCAAGAGCGAAGGCAAUCUUCUGGAACACUACUGACGCUGAGGCGCGAAAGCGUGGGGAGCAAACGGGAUUAGAAACCCGAGUAGUCC